UACGGGGGGAGCAAGCGUUGUUCGGAUUUACUGGGCGUAAAGGGCGCGUAGGCGGCAAUUCAAGUCAUCUGUGAAAUCUCCGGGCUUAACUCGGAACGGUCAGAUGAUACUGCUUUGCUAGAGUGCGGAAGGGGCAAUCGGAAUUCUUGGUGUAGCGGUGAAAUGCGUAGAUAUCAAGAGGAACACCUGAGGUGAAGACGGGUUGCUGGGCCGACACUGACGCUGACAGCGCGAAAGCCAGGGGAGCAAACGGG
Molecule: ribosomal RNA, 254 nt
Filed under: uncultured bacterium
Lineage: Bacteria
Description: partial 16S ribosomal RNA
Rfam family: Bacterial small subunit ribosomal RNA
Source: RNAcentral